This is a long non-coding RNA of Rhinopithecus roxellana (golden snub-nosed monkey), 300 nucleotides long. RefSeq lists it as uncharacterized. The transcript has 3 exons. The record is from RefSeq and is a predicted model, not a curated record. NCBI's taxonomy places the organism in Eukaryota, Metazoa, Chordata, Mammalia, Primates, Cercopithecidae.
AUUGUUUGGUGCCUCCAUGGCAAAAGAGGCUGUUGAGAAUACAACUAUUCAGGCUCCCAUGAACUCCUUAAAAGUGUCUGGAGCCCUGCAAGGAAUCAGAGGACCUGAGGAAACACCAGUGCCAAAGCUUUUGUGAGUUCCUUUUAUGGCACCUAUCCAAGAAUAAAAAGUGAACAACAGUGUAUAGCAGCAGUAAUACAGCUACUUGGAGCUCUCUAUGUCAAAACAGGAGGAGGAGAAGUGGGGGAUAGUGAAAGAAGAGGAGGGAAAAAUCACCUCUGCUGAAAAACCAAAGAAAAG